CUCAGAAUAAGCGCACGUCACUAACAAAUUUGACGUUUGUCGUAUUAACUGUGUUAUUAACCUUUCUCGCUGUUUCCCGCUUCCCGCUAUUCGACAGCGUCCUAGGAUUGUGUUAGCGUUUUUCGGGUGUUUAUUAAAGUUUUUGUGCUUAAUCAUAGUUCAGAUAUCUGUUUCGUUGCCUUUGUUUAUUAUUUAGUGUAUGUUUGUGUUAUAAAAUUAGUUUUAGCGUUAGUACCAGAUUUCUGGAUUAGUUAUAGUUGGUGUUACUUGUUCGUGUUGUUUUGUGUGCCUGCUAACCGAUUAACAAUAAUAAUUAUAUUAAUUUAGUGUUGUUUAUGUACUCUUUUAAUAUUCGUGUUCUUUAAACAGAACUGUCAAGAUGCCUAGAACAUGUGCAGUGCCGGGUUGUAAUUCCACUGUUAAAUCAAAAGUGUCUUUCUUCAAACCUCCGAAGUCACUUGAAAGAAGGAAAGUUUGGGAAGAAGCUUUAGGAUUUACUCUUGGAAAUACAAAAUUUAUUUGUGAAUUACAUUUUAAACAGGAGGAGGUCAUAAGGGUGAAACAUUUUUACCGCGAAGAUCAAAGCAUUCUCGCGACGGUAUUAAUGAAGAGACUGCUGCAGUAGCUGCUUGCUCCAUAUCCGAAGGAUUUUCAGAAUCGGAUUUGUUUGUGCUGUACUUUUUCUUUAUUUGUCUUAAGAAAAAAUUAUAUUAUACAGUGACAAAAAGUGCUUAUCUGGUUUUUGUGAUUUCAAAUCAUUAAUGUUAAUUUUACUGCAUCUUAUGAGUUAUGACUUCCUCUAAUACUGAUUGAACAGCAAUGUCGAUAGUGUGAGUCUGUUAUAUAAUUUGAUAAAAUACUAUCGACAUGCAAGAUUUUAAGAUUUUAUAAAAUUGAAGUUAAUCUGUUAAUAAAAAAAAAUAGAAAAAAAAGUUGUUCCUAAACGAGUUACGAAAGCCUCUCUUGCUUGGGUAACUCGUACAUUUACAAUACUCGCUUCGCUCGUUUCGUAACAUUUACACUCAUUGUAUAAAAUGAGGGUUUUCAUAACUGGUUAUGUAAAUAGCUAUUCAUUAUUUGAAUUAAAUCCAUAUUUAUUUUUGCAUUUGCAUUUUAUAAAUUAGUCCUGAAAAUAUUUCAAAUAUGUAAUUACUACAGACUUUAUAGUGAUCUCAUAUAGUAUAAAUUCCAAUAUUUUUGUUCCUUACUCGAUUUUUUGUUACAUUAAAAAAAUAUGUAGAUUGA
This is a long non-coding RNA of Zophobas morio, 1245 nucleotides long. RefSeq lists it as uncharacterized. Lineage: Eukaryota; Metazoa; Arthropoda; Insecta; Coleoptera; Tenebrionidae. The record is from RefSeq and is a predicted model, not a curated record. The transcript has 3 exons.